UUGCUUGACGCACCAGUACAUUUAUUAAAAUUGAAAUGUUACAAAGAUUAUCCUGGUCCCUACAAGGGAUGACAUGCAAAUUGAUUAACUUCCAUAAUUUUUC
Molecule: small nuclear RNA, 103 nt
Filed under: Octodon degus (degu)
Lineage: Eukaryota; Metazoa; Chordata; Mammalia; Rodentia; Octodontidae
Source: RNAcentral